UGUCGAACCAUCUCCUGCACAGAUUCCACAGUUGUCUUCCUUGGCAUUGCUCCCAAGUUGUCGAUCACAGCCUACUGCCUGGCAUAUUCCACUAAUGCACAUAUCCAGUGAUUCCGUAUUGCAGCGAGUACCAUCUAGUACUUUUGGGGCAAGCUCCACAAUCAAGUUCUUUCCCAGAGCUUGACACUUCAAGGCACAUGGUGCAGUAGGGUCAUUAUACACGGGGAUCCACUCAUAAAAAUGCCCCUGAUACUUGACAUCAUUGUAGGCUGAACAUUGUUGUGCUCUGAAGUCACCAACAUCUGAAGGGCAGUCAUUACUACUGCAUGUUUUGUAUCGAAUAUUCCGACCUUCACAGUUCCUGCCAUUUAAACAUCUCCUCAGUGAGUAGGAGGCUCCCCCACCGCAGGUCCGUGAGCAAUCACUCCAGGCUCCCCAGGCAUCCCAGGAGCCAUCCUUAUCUUCAUCAGAACGGGUGAUUCUGGAGGUCUGAACAAAACGGAGGUUGGAGAGGAGAAAGAAACUUUAAUAGACUUCCUACACAUUUAAUGUUUGACAUCAAUAGCAGAGUAUAUUACUUUGCUGUUUAUUGACAAUGUCUCAAUUUACUGUUUUAAUAUACAAUAAUUACAUGGGAAAGGAAGCAGUGUUUGAAAAUACAGUGCAUUUCAU
This 672-nucleotide long non-coding RNA is filed under the name Gallus gallus (chicken). The record is from RNAcentral. Lineage: Eukaryota; Metazoa; Chordata; Aves; Galliformes; Phasianidae.